AAGAAAUGAAGAAUGAAAGAAUCCAGAGUGCCAAGAGUUCUGUGAGAGGGUGCUGCACCUGUUUCUUCAUCUAUGGAAGGGAGAUGUUACCUACCUUCCAGAGUUUAUUUGAGGAUUAAGUGAGAUUUGCAACUGAGGAGCUGGUACAGUGCUCGGUGGUCCUGGCCAUGGAAGUUGGUACUAGAUGCUGGGGAAGCAGGAAUACAGAUGCAUGGUUCAUCCUCCAAAAGAGAAGACAGGCUG
Molecule: long non-coding RNA, 243 nt
Organism: Choloepus didactylus (southern two-toed sloth)
Lineage: Eukaryota; Metazoa; Chordata; Mammalia; Pilosa; Megalonychidae
Exons: 3
Source: RefSeq, a predicted model, not a curated record